UACGUAGGGGGCUAGCGUUGUCCGGAAUCAUUGGGCGUAAAGCGCGCGUAGGCGGCUAGAUAAGUCCGGUGUGAAAGUCACAGGCUCAACCUGUGAAUGCCGCUGGAAACUGUCUGGCUUGAGUCCGGAAGGGGCGAGUGGAAUUCCUGGUGUAGCGGUGAAAUGCGCAGAUAUCAGGAGGAACACCAAUGGCGAAGGCAGCUCGCUGGAACGGUACUGACGCUGAGGCGCGAAAGCGUGGGGAGCGAACAGG
RNAcentral lists this ribosomal RNA (253 nucleotides) under uncultured bacterium. RNAcentral describes it as "partial 16S ribosomal RNA". It matches the Rfam family "Bacterial small subunit ribosomal RNA", at positions 524 to 776 of the family's 1533-position model. The record is from RNAcentral.